RNAcentral lists this ribosomal RNA (495 nucleotides) under uncultured bacterium. RNAcentral describes it as "partial 16S ribosomal RNA". It matches the Rfam family "Bacterial small subunit ribosomal RNA", at positions 28 to 507 of the family's 1533-position model. The record is from RNAcentral.
GACGAACGCUGGCGGCGUGCCUAAUACAUGCAAGUAGAACGCUGAAGGAGGAGCUUGCUUCUCUGGAUGAGUUGCGAACGGGUGAGUAACGCGUAGGUAACCUGCCUGGUAGCGGGGGAUAACUAUUGGAAACGAUAGCUAAUACCGCAUAAUAGUAGAUGUUGCAUGACAUUUGCUUAAAAGGUGCAAUUGCAUCACUACCAGAUGGACCUGCGUUGUAUUAGCUAGUUGGUGAGGUAACGGCUCACCAAGGCGACGAUACAUAGCCGACCUGAGAGGGUGAUCGGCCACACUGGGACUGAGACGCGGCCCAGACUCCUACGGGAGGCAGCAGUAGGGAAUCUUCGGCAAUGGACGGAAGUCUGACCGAGCAACGCCGCGUGAGUGAAGAAGGUUGUCGGAUCGUAAAGCUCUGUUGUAAGAGAAGAACGAGUGUGAGAGUGGAAAGUUCACACUGUGACGGUAUCUUACCAGAAAGGGACGGCUAACUACGUG